UUGCUAGUAAUCGCGGAUCAGCAUGCCGCGGUGAAUACGUUCCCGGGCCUUGUACACACCGCCCGUCACACCAUGGGAGUCGGUAACACCCGAAGCCUGUAGUCUAACCGCAAGGGGGACGCAGUCGAAGGUGGGAUUGAUGACUGGGGUGAAGUCGUAACAAGGUACC
This 169-nucleotide ribosomal RNA is filed under the name uncultured bacterium. RNAcentral describes it as "partial 16S ribosomal RNA". It matches the Rfam family "Bacterial small subunit ribosomal RNA", at positions 1332 to 1500 of the family's 1533-position model. The record is from RNAcentral.